UCAAAUGAGAACUUUGAAGGCC
RNAcentral lists this non-coding RNA (22 nucleotides) under Arabidopsis thaliana (thale cress). The record is from RNAcentral. Lineage: Eukaryota; Viridiplantae; Streptophyta; Magnoliopsida; Brassicales; Brassicaceae.